RNAcentral lists this ribosomal RNA (254 nucleotides) under uncultured bacterium. RNAcentral describes it as "partial 16S ribosomal RNA". It matches the Rfam family "Bacterial small subunit ribosomal RNA", at positions 524 to 776 of the family's 1533-position model. The record is from RNAcentral.
UACGUAGGGUGCAAGCGUUGUCCGGAAUUAUUGGGCGUAAAGAGCUCGUAGGCGGUUUGUCACGUCUGCUGUGAAAACUCGGGGCUUAACUCCGGGCCUGCAGUGGGUACGGGCAGACUAGAGUGCAGAAGGGGCAACUGGAAUUCUCGGUGUAGCGGUGAAAUGCGUAGAUAUCGAGAGGAACACCUGCGGCGAAGGCGGGUUGCUGGGCUGACACUGACGCUGACAGCGCGAAAGCUAGGGGAGCGAACGGG